GAUGAACGCUGGCGGCGUGCCUAAUACAUGCAAGUCGAGCGAACGGACGAGAAGCUUGCUUCUCUGAUGUUAGCGGCGGACGGGUGAGUAACACGUGGAUAACCUACCUAUAAGACUGGGAUAACUUCGGGAAACCGGAGCUAAUACCGGAUAAUAUUUUGAACCGCAUGGUUCAAAAGUGAAAGACGGUCUUGCUGUCACUUAUAGAUGGAUCCGCGCUGCAUUAGCUAGUUGGUAAGGUAACGGCUUACGAAGGCAACGAUGCAUAGCCGACCUGAGAGGGUGAUCGGCCACCCUGGAACUGAGACACGGUCCAGACUCCUACGGGAGGCAGCAGUAGGGAAUCUUACGCAAUGGGCGAAAGCCUGACGGAGCAACGCCGCGUGAGUGAUGAAGGUCUUCGGAUCGUAAAACUCUGUUAUUAGGGAAGAACAUAUGUGUAAGUAACUGUGCACAUCUUGACGGUACCUAAUCAGAAAGCCACGGCUAACUACGUG
RNAcentral lists this ribosomal RNA (497 nucleotides) under uncultured bacterium. RNAcentral's name for it is "partial 16S ribosomal RNA". It matches the Rfam family "Bacterial small subunit ribosomal RNA", at positions 28 to 507 of the family's 1533-position model. The record is from RNAcentral.